GAUGCCCGCUUUCUUCUUGCCUAAUACAUGCAAGUCGAGCGAACGGACGAGAAGCUUGCUUCUCUGAUGUUAGCGGCGGACGGGUGAGUAACACGUGGAUAACCUACCUAUAAGACUGGGAUAACUUCGGGAAACCGGAGCUAAUACCGGAUAAUAUUUUGAACCGCAUGGUUCAAAAGUGAAAGACGGUCUUGCUGUCACUUAUAGAUGGAUCCGCGCUGCAUUAGCUAGUUGGUAAGGUAACGGCUUACCAAGGCAACGAUGCAUAGCCGACCUGAGAGGGUGAUCGGCCACACUGGAACUGAGACACGGUCCAGACUCCUACGGGAGGCAGCAGUAGGGAAUCUUCCGCAAUGGGCGAAAGCCUGACGGAGCAACGCCGCGUGAGUGAUGAAGGUCUUCGGAUCGUAAAACUCUGUUAUUAGGGAAGAACAUAUGUGUAAGUAACUGUGCACAUCUUGACGGUACCUAAUCAGAAAGCCACGGCUAACUACGUG
This 497-nucleotide ribosomal RNA is filed under the name uncultured bacterium. RNAcentral describes it as "partial 16S ribosomal RNA". It matches the Rfam family "Bacterial small subunit ribosomal RNA", at positions 28 to 507 of the family's 1533-position model. The record is from RNAcentral.